UACGGAGGGUGCGAGCGUUGUCCGGAAUCAUUGGGCGUAAAGGGCGCGUAGGUGGCUUCUUAAGCGUGCGGUGAAAGCCUGGGGCUCAACCCCGGGUCGGCCGUGCGAACUGGGGGGCUGGAGCACUGUAGAGGCAGGCGGAAUUCCGGGUGUAGCGGUGGAAUGCGUAGAGAUCCGGAAGAACACCGGUGGCGAAGGCGGCCUGCUGGGCAGUUGCUGACACUGAGGCACGAAAGCGUGGGGAGCAAACAGG
This 253-nucleotide ribosomal RNA is filed under the name uncultured bacterium. RNAcentral's name for it is "partial 16S ribosomal RNA". It matches the Rfam family "Bacterial small subunit ribosomal RNA", at positions 524 to 776 of the family's 1533-position model. The record is from RNAcentral.